Molecule: ribosomal RNA, 432 nt
Filed under: uncultured bacterium
Lineage: Bacteria
Description: partial 16S ribosomal RNA
Rfam family: Bacterial small subunit ribosomal RNA
Source: RNAcentral
CCUACGGGUAGCAGCAGUGGGGAAUUUUGGACAAUGGGCGAAAGCCUGAUCCAGCAAUGCCGCGUGUGUGAAGAAGGCCUUCGGGUUGUAAAGCACUUUUGUCCGGAAAGCGGUACCGGAAGAAUAAGCACCGGCUAACUACGUGCCAGCAGCCGCGGUAAUACGUAGGGUGCGAGCGUUAAUCGGAAUUACUGGGCGUAAAGCGUGCGCAGGCGGUCCGCUAAGACCGAUGUGAAAUCCCCGGGCUUAACCUGGGAACUGCAUUGGGGACUGGCGGGCUGGAGUAUGGCAGAGGGGGGUAGAAUUCCACGUGUAGCAGUGAAAUGCGUAGAGAUGUGGAGGAAUACCGAUGGCGAAGGCAGCCCCCUGGGCCAAACUGACGCUCAUGCACGAAAGCGUGGGGAGCAAACAGGAUUAGAUACCCUGGUAGUC